GGCGGCGUGCCUAAUACAUGCAAGUCGAACGAGUUCUCGUUGAUGAUCGGUGCUUGCACCGAGAUUCAACAUGGAACGAGUGGCGGACGGGUGAGUAACACGUGGGUAACCUGCCCUUAAGUGGGGGAUAACAUUUGGAAACAGAUGCUAAUACCGCAUAGAUCCAAGAACCGCAUGGUUCUUGGCUGAAAGAUGGCGUAAGCUAUCGCUUUUGGAUGGACCCGCGGCGUAUUAGCUAGUUGGUGAGGUAAUGGCUCACCAAGGCGAUGAUACGUAGCCGAACUGAGAGGUUGAUCGGCCACAUUGGGACUGAGACACGGCCCAAACUCCUACGGGAGGCAGCAGUAGGGAAUCUUCCACAAUGGACGCAAGUCUGAUGGAGCAACGCCGCGUGAGUGAAGAAGGCUUUCGGGUCGUAAAACUCUGUUGUUGGAGAAGAAUGGUCGGCAGAGUAACUGUUGUCGGCGUGACGGUAUCCAACCAGAAAGCCACGGCUAACUACGUGCCAGCAGCCGCGGUAAUACGUAGGUGGCAAGCGUUAUCCGGAUUUAUUGGGCGUAAAGCGAGCGCAGGCGGUUUUUUAAGUCUGAUGUGAAAGCCCUCGGCUUAACCGAGGAAGCGCAUCGGAAACUGGGAAACUUGAGUGCAGAAGAGGACAGUGGAACUCCAUGUGUAGCGGUGAAAUGCGUAGAUAUAUGGAAGAACACCAGUGGCGAAGGCGGCUGUCUGGUCUGUAACUGACGCUGAGGCUCGAAAGCAUGGGUAGCGAACAGGAUUAGAUACCCUGGUAGUGCCACUGCCGUAAACGAUGAAUGCUAGGUGUUGGAGGGUUUCCGCCCUUCAGUGCCGCAGCUAACGCAUUAAGCAUUCCGCCUGGGGAGUACGACCGCAAGGUUGAAACUCAAAGGAAUUGACGGGGGCCCGCACAAGCGGUGGAGCAUGUGGUUUAAUUCGAAGCAACGCGAAGAACCUUACCAGGUCUUGACAUCUUUUGAUCACCUGAGAGAUCAGGUUUCCCCUUCGGGGGCAAAAUGACAGGUGGUGCAUGGUUGUCGUCAGCUCGUGUCGUGAGAUGUUGGGUUAAGUCCCGCAACGAGCGCAACCCUUAUGACUAGUUGCCAGCAUUUAGUUGGGCACUCUAGUAAGACUGCCGGUGACAAACCGGAGGAAGGUGGGGAUGACGUCAAAUCAUCAUGCCCCUUAUGACCUGGGCUACACACGUGCUACAAUGGAUGGUACAACGAGUUGCGAGACCGCGAGGUCAAGCUAAUCUCUUAAAGCCAUUCUCAGUUCGGACUGUAGGCUGCAACUCGCCUACACGAAGUCGGAAUCGCUAGUAAUCGCGGAUCAGCACGCCGCGGUGAAUACGUUCCCGGGCCUUGUACACACCGCCCGUCACACCAUGAGAGUGUGUAACACCCGAAGCCGGUGGCGUAACCCUUUUAGGGAGCGAGCCGUCUAAGGUGGGACAAAUGAUUAGGGUGAAGUCGUAACAA
RNAcentral lists this ribosomal RNA (1496 nucleotides) under Lacticaseibacillus paracasei. RNAcentral's name for it is "bacterial SSU rRNA". It matches the Rfam family "Bacterial small subunit ribosomal RNA". Lineage: Bacteria; Bacillati; Bacillota; Bacilli; Lactobacillales; Lactobacillaceae. The record is from RNAcentral.